This 561-nucleotide long non-coding RNA is filed under the name Hordeum vulgare. RNAcentral describes it as "long non-coding RNA (HVUL_LNC011238)". The record is from RNAcentral. Lineage: Eukaryota; Viridiplantae; Streptophyta; Magnoliopsida; Poales; Poaceae.
ACCACAUACUUCCAUGUUCAAAAUUUUGAUAUGGUAAAGUUUUUUUUUUUACUUCCGACUGCAAACAACCUAAUUUUCUACACAAAACCUUUUGCUCUGGUGUAUACCUCAAUCCUAUUUGGAAGGGAUAACCACAUACUUCCAUGUUCAAAAUUUUGAUAUGGUAAAGUUUUUUUUUACUUCCGACUGCAAACAACCUAGUUUUCUACAUAAAACCUUUUGCUCUGGUGUAUACCUCAAUCCUAUUGGUCGUUCGUGAUCUGUUAUGCUUGUGCCGCGCUUUUGGUAUAGUCAUCGCUGAUGUUUGGUUGCCAUCAUGCGUUAACAGCGCAGCAUAAUGCUACCUGUUUUUGCGAGCUUGAACUGUGUGUCUGUGCGGCUUCAAGAGUCACAACCCAACCACAUUAUUUAUCAUCUUGCCUUGUGUUACUGUUUUGCCAUGCAACUAUCAUGUGCAGCUCUUGAUGCUGUAGUUUGGGCACUGCGUCCUUUCUCCACUCCCUGCUCCCCAACUGAUAAAUUUUACGAUGCCAGCUAAAAAUAGGUUGCUUUCUACUCCCU